AUUGGAGCUAAACCUUAACUACAUAAGUGUUUUGCUAAGAAGAGCAGAGGUGUAUGAAAAGUUGUAACAAUUUGAAGAGACUAUAGCAGAUAUGACAAAGGUUUUGGAAGUUGACCCAUCAUAUGAUCAAGCUAGAAGACAGAUUGUUCGCUUGAAGCCAUUAGCAGAUGAAAAACGUCAAAAGAUGAAGGAAGAAAUGAUUGUUGACCAUUGGUGGUAUGAACUUCUUUGGGUAGUUGCUGUUAAAUGAUUCUUUUUUGCUCUUCACGUGUAAAUAUAGGAAUGCUUCAUUUUUGCAAAAGAAAAUGUGUUCUAGGGGAGAAGAGUGGAGGAGGAGGAGAGGAUCUGGAAUUUUUGCAAAAGUAAAAGGAGCUAGUGUGAGCUGAGGUGGCUAGUGCAUUCGGAAGAUUCUGGAGGAAGGGGAAGGUUAAUGUGAGCAGAUAAAGCUUUGCUUCAGGUGCUGCUAAAGAAUAGAUGCUUGUGGAAGUGGACAAACGAUUACUGAGAUUAGCACAAGGAUGGUUUAAGGGAAAUGUAAGCUGAGGGAAAUUGGAAAUUGCAAUUCUGGUCAAUUUGGAAUGAGCGCUGACAAUUUCAAAGCUGUGAAAGAUCCAAACACUGGUUCAUAUUCUAUUCCAUUUCAGUGCUAAUAUCUUUUACAAACUUCACAUAUAUUCUUUAGUUUCUGGAGCUAUGGAUCAAAUGGACUGAAAUCUUAAAGAGGAUGAAGCACGUUUCCUCACAGUGUUGAUCUCAGUCGUAUGAUUAUGUUUUUACAUAUAACUUGAGAAAAAGAAAUUGAUGUGGUUUUUUGCCAUAAUAUGUUAUAAACAGACUUAAAGUUUCACUUUACUGGAAGUUUCUUAUAGUUGCUUUAGUACUUUCCAUUUCUUCGUGGUGUUGUCCAUGGUUUUGAUACUGUUUUGGAGGGCAUCUGAAGGUGCAGCAUAAUUUAUGCUAUCAACGUCUUUGUCAUGAUCUGUUCGGAGAGUAGCAUAGAAAUGUAGAACCUUGCACGCAAACAGGGAGAGAGUCCACCUCCUCUUCCCACCCAUCCCAAAAAAGGGUAAAUUCUGACUAGAUAUCAUAUCAUAGCCACACUAAAAGUGUGUAAGCUCGGAUGAACACUGAAAUGGUCUGGUUACUCCGUAAUUUUCAUGAACUCUGGGGGUGUUUGUUGGUUGCAUGAUUUUUGGGCGGCUUGGGGAUAUGUGGGCGCAGACAGCCUCAUUGAAUCGGGUGCACACUCCUUCCUUUGCCUUCUCUCUCUCUUCCUUGCUCUUAAUUUCAAUCCUUGCUCUCUUCUAAUUACCACUUUCUUUCCUGCUCUUCUAAUUACCGGACCAAUUUCUCCCCUUCGCUUGCUUACACCUUGCAGCACAACUCAGGAAUCAAGUUAAUUCUUGAAAAAUUGAAACUUGCGGAAGAAAGGCAAAUGGAAGGAAGGGACUCACUUUGGUAUCUCUGAACAGGUGGUUGACUACAAGGUCUCUUUCUGCAUGAUUAAAAUACAUACAAAUACCAAUAAACUCUUGACAAUGGAAAGACGUAACUGACGAGAGGUACUGAGGGAGAGGUUGGAAAGAGGAAGCUCUAUUGAAUAUUCCACCCAAUUUGUAGAUUGUAAGUGCCAUGUGGCAGCCCCAGGCUCGAGUUGAUUAUGUUGGUGUCACUGAACCUCCAUGGCCUUCCUCCUUGUGAAGCUAAUGCUAUUGAAUCUUCUCUCUUUUGGUUUUGGUCAUUGAUUUCAAUUUGAACUGUGUUUUUUAGGUAAUGUUUUGGUAUUUAUGCUUUAUUUUGUUCAAAAUGGAAACUUUGAAAUGAUCUUUGCUACAACCUAAAAUAUUUUGGGGUCGGGAUUAUCCAGGAAUUUAACCCUUUUCAUAUGAGUUCAAUUUGAGGGAAUUUAACUAUACAUUCCAUGCUUAUUGUUCAACCUGCUUUGAUGUAUACUUCAUUUAUAAUAUGGGAGAGCUGCAUUACCCAGCUAUUCCACUUUGGAUUGGGCAAGGAUGAAUGGACAGUUGAUAAAAGCCAUUUCUCCACGAGUUAUGGAAACAUAUUGAUAUGCAGCAUUACGGUAUCUAGGUACUCCUAAGAACGCUUUUCAUGUCCCAUAUGCAGUUUUGUGCUCUUGAUCUCAUUUUAUUAUGGCCCAACCUGCAAUUCUAUUUUGUUUUAAAAUUGAGUCAACAUAGUCCAGUUAUAGUGUAAAUGAGAGCCAUUUUGGGGCUGUUUUAUUACCAUUUCAAUGAGAUAGUGGAGUUAGUCUUGAGUUGGUAGGAGCUAUUGGAUAUCCUUGCCUUUCAAUGUUGGACAUUGAUUUUGUUUGUUAAGUCCGUUAAAACUUAAAACAGAGCAUCAAGCUCUCCUGCUUAUAGCAAUUCCUUACUUAUUUUAGUGCCUCUGUUUUCCAUCUUCUACAGCCUUCUAUCUUGUUUCUUUGAGGAGACUACCGAUGUAUUUCUUUCCAAGAAAACAUGCAACUCUAAACUCUCUUUCCUGCAGCAAAAGAAAAAGACAACUUAGAUAUCUAGAGAAAAGAUUAUUAUUGGGAAUUGAGAAGUUUACCACCCUCUGCUGCAAUCUCCUCUCUGAGAUAUCGGUGAAUAUCUACAUUCCUCUCUCAUCCCUCUUGAAUAUGCUGGAAUAUAGCAAACCAUUUAGGUUUUUGAUCUAUUUCAGUCAUUGUAUUUUCUCUAUGUAUUCAGUAGCUUCAGUUACUCAGUUAAAUCGGCUUUUGGUAAUAUUCAUUUGAUUGUGUAUUAGGUCCAGUAAAGAAUGCUAUUGGUGUAAGGAUGAUUAAAUCGAAAUCUUUGUGUCGCUUUCA
Long non-coding RNA from Coffea eugenioides, 2830 nucleotides. RefSeq lists it as uncharacterized. The transcript has 5 exons. The record is from RefSeq and is a predicted model, not a curated record. NCBI's taxonomy places the organism in Eukaryota, Viridiplantae, Streptophyta, Magnoliopsida, Gentianales, Rubiaceae.